RNAcentral lists this ribosomal RNA (347 nucleotides) under Aedes aegypti (yellow fever mosquito). Its description in RNAcentral is "eukaryotic LSU rRNA". It matches the Rfam family "Eukaryotic large subunit ribosomal RNA", at positions 679 to 965 of the family's 3401-position model. The record is from RNAcentral. Lineage: Eukaryota; Metazoa; Arthropoda; Insecta; Diptera; Culicidae.
CCUGCGCGCAGCCAUGGUCGUCCUCCGGAGCACCAAAGGCGCAGAAAACAUAACUUGAGUUGUGCGGGAUUACGGGCGCGGCUCUCUGCUCGUCCCUCCAUCCCCGGGUGUUGCAAUCGGCAUGCGGCUACCGGGACCCAGGCCGCAAGGCCCCCGGCACCGUGCCGCAACAUACCGUGAGUGUGCAGGAUGUGACCCGAAAGAUGGUGAACUAUGCCUGAUCAGGUUGAAGUCAGGGGAAACCCUGAUGGAGGACCGAAGCAGUUCUGACGUGCAAAUCGAUUGUCAGAAUUGGGCAUAGGGGCGAAAGACCAAUCGAACCAUCUAGUAGCUGUUUUCCUUCCGAA